GCAAGUAGACGCUGAGACUUUAGCUUGCUAAAGUUGGAAGAGUUGCGAACGGGUGAGUAACGCGUAGGUAACCUGCCUACUAGCGGGGGAUAACUAUUGGAAACGAUAGCUAAUACCGCAUAACAGCAUUUAACACAUGUUAGAUGCUUGAAAGGAGCAAUUGCUUCACUAGUAGAUGGACCUGCGUUGUAUUAGCUAGUUGGUGAGGUAACGGCUCACCAAGGCGACGAUACAUAGCCGACCUGAGAGGGUGAUCGGCCACACUGGGACUGAGACACGGCCCAGACUCCUACGGGAGGCAGCAGUAGGGAAUCUUCGGCAAUGGGGGCAACCCUGACCGAGCAACGCCGCGUGAGUGAAGAAGGUUUUCGGAUCGUAAAGCUCUGUUGUAAGAGAAGAACGUGUGUGAGAGUGGAAAGUUCACACAGUGACGGUAACUUACCAGAAAGGGACGGCUAACUACGUGCCAGCAGCCGCGGUAAUACGUAGGUCCCGAGCGUUGUCCGGAUUUAUUG
RNAcentral lists this ribosomal RNA (515 nucleotides) under Streptococcus lutetiensis. Its description in RNAcentral is "bacterial SSU rRNA". It matches the Rfam family "Bacterial small subunit ribosomal RNA", at positions 57 to 556 of the family's 1533-position model. The record is from RNAcentral. Lineage: Bacteria; Bacillati; Bacillota; Bacilli; Lactobacillales; Streptococcaceae.